Molecule: ribosomal RNA, 254 nt
Filed under: uncultured bacterium
Lineage: Bacteria
Description: partial 16S ribosomal RNA
Rfam family: Bacterial small subunit ribosomal RNA
Source: RNAcentral
UACGUAGGGUGCAAGCGUUGUCCGGAAUUAUUGGGCGUAAAGAGCUCGUAGGCGGUGUGUCACGUCGUUCGUGAAAACCUGCAGCUUAACUGUGGGCGUGCGGUCGAUACGGGCAUCACUGGAGUUCGGCAGGGGAGACUGGAAUUCCGGGUGGAGCGGUGAAAUGCGUAGAGAUCCGGAGGAACACCAGGGGCGAAAGCGGUCGACUGGUCGAGUUCUGACACUGAGGCGCGACGGCGUGGGGAGCAAACCGG